Suricata suricatta (meerkat) is the source of this 3167-nucleotide long non-coding RNA. RefSeq lists it as uncharacterized. The record is from RefSeq and is a predicted model, not a curated record. The transcript has 2 exons. Lineage: Eukaryota; Metazoa; Chordata; Mammalia; Carnivora; Herpestidae.
CCCCCAGGCGGCUGGGUAGGGCCUGAGCCACCCUGUGCCCACCCCAUCUGGCUAUGGGUGUUCAUGGAUAGGUAUUGACAGCCCUGACCCAAAGGGGACCCGCCCAGGGGCCACUGCGAGCCUGGGGUCAGGUCCUACCUUCUGCAGUUGUACCUCCAGGCGCACUCUGUCCACUCCACCUUCCUUCCUGGAGCGUUUUCCCACAGGUGCCACUGGGCUCUGGCCAGUCAGGGACAAUGGGCUCGAGGCCCAGGGGGGUGCCGGGAGGCGUGAGCAGACACGAGGAGUCCACGUGGAGGUCACCAGCCUGGGGGCCCCCGCGGCUCUGCCUUCCCGGAGCACCCGGGGCGCGAGGAGCCCCGGUGGGAGGAGGAGGGCGCAAAUGGCCAGCUUCUCGAGCCCCCCGGGAAAGCAGUGGGCAGCUCAGGGCCUCCAGAGGCCCUUCAGCGGUGCCGUGGGACAGUCCCUGGGGGAGACAGACAGGGACGCAGUGCUCAGGGGCCUCCCCUGCCUUCUGUAGACCCACAGGGGCCCCAGAGACUGCCCCCAACUGCCCCAUCACCCAGCGCCAGCAUUACCUUGAGGCCCUCAGGUGGGGGAGGCCCAACACCAGGUCUGCCACGCAGGCUCCAUAGGAAGUGGCGGACAUACAGAAGAUGCUGGUAGAGGCUUUCAUCGGGGCAGUCGGCUUCCAAAUCCACCUGGAAACCCUCGCUCGGCAACACAAUGGGCGGGGGGUUCUCGUAGGACUCCAGCACGUCCUCUGCGGGCGACGGUGGGAACGCUGGGACCGUGCAGGCCCCGAGGGACCUCCCGCCCGGCCCUAGGCUCACCAGCCAGCCCUGCCCGCUGCUGGAGGUACGAGGCACACACACGUGCUGGGCCCGGCACAGGCCACCCGCCCAAACCCCUCUCCCGGCCCUUCUGCAGCCCGGUGGCCACAAAGGACGAAGCCCAAGCCACCUCGCCCCCUCCCCCGCACCCCCAGCCUGCCCUCCUGGGGCGCCAAAGGGCCAUACUGACUGCAUCCCACCCUGUCACCGGGACCCCGUGUCCCAGAACACGAGCACCCUCCCAUGGCAGCAGGCCCUGGGAGUCGGGGCGGGGGGCCAGCCGGGCCAGCGGAGCCGGAGUCCUGUCACAGGCCACGCCCUGGGUGUGGGAGCCUAAGGCCCUAUUUCUAGCUCUAUCUUCUACCUUAUCUUAAUCUGUGUCAUUAGGUGUGCUAACAAGGAGAGACGUGAAUCUAUUUGUAAAUAGAUGUGUGAACCUACGUGGCAAGUAUGCCAUCUUGGCACAGAACAUGGAGACCCUGUUCUCCUCCUGGUGGGCUGUGCCCCAAGUGGGGCCCAUCCUCAGGCUCCAUGUUGGAUAGGGCGACCCUGAACCUAACCCAGAGGCCAUGAACUGUGGGCUCCCUGACCUCCAUCUAGGGGCGUCUCCAGGUGCCCAGGUGGAGGACAGGGCAUGGAGGAGGAAGAUGGCCCCAGGUGGAGGGGACAGAGGUCCUGUGGGCUCCCAGGGAAGUCCCACUGGAAGCUCCCCACUGUCCCCACCAUGGCCCACAGGGUCCCGCCCUGGGGGAGGCUCACCUGACUUGAAGGCGUCGGGGCUGUCCCGGGCGCCGGGCUCCCAGGCGCUCACGGGGCCCAUGCCAGCGGCCAGCUGGUACUGCAUGAGCAGCCGGUGCAGCUGCGCAGGGCUCAGGGCGGGGAAUGCGGCCCGCAGGCUCGCCCAGCUCAUCUGGGGGACAAGGAGGAGCAUGUGGGCAGAGGGUCUUUCUCCUGGGCACUCUGGGGGCAGGGUCCGGGCUCCCAACGAACACACCCAGGGCCGUGGCACCCCUGAGGGCUGCUGAGGUCAGCAGGGGGGUGGGGGGGGUGCCACAGCCUCAUGGGCAGCCAGGGUGAGAGCCGGCUGGGGCAGUCGGUCCCGAGUGGCCAGCAAGCACCCCACUGCGGGCUCCAUCCCCUCAACACACCUCUCCCGAUAGUACCUGGCAGGGCUGAGAUACCAGGAAAAGAGCAAUCAGAUUCCUGCCCCGAAGAGUGUACACAAAUCAGACCCGGAGGGCGGCAGACACACAUGAAGGCACAGCCUUCCAGGAUGGGAGGCUUCCUGCAGGGGGAGGAGCAGCCCAAGCUUGGGGAGGAGGGUGGGCUCAUGCUCGACAGAACAGAAUAACAGGUACAGUCACCCAUGACCCUACAAUGGGCCAGGGAUGCCCUUCCCCUCCUGUUUUCUGGAAACUUCUCUCGCAUUCUCUCGCCUAAUCCCCAUUUCUGUGACACAGACGCUCCAGCAGCUUCUUGGUGCCCCAAGGACCACGGCUGACCCUGUAGGCGGCAGGGGGGGGGGGCACUGCGCCCUCCAUGGCAAGUGGUGCCCAGCUCCCAGCGUGGCUCUUCAAAGUAGGAAACCUCUGUGAUGGCUCAGCUUCUGGGAAGUUCCCAGGCUCCGCUCGCCCAUCGUCCCCGAACUACAGGGGCUUAAAACAAGGAAGCAGAACGUGGGAUGGUGGCUGUUCAUGCUGCCCAGCCGGGCCCCGUCUGUGCCCGUCUCUCGUGCUGGAGGCUGUUCCCUCAUGCCUGCCAGCGGGCUCACGGGGGGACAGGCAUCUGCAUCCUCUGGCCCCUGCCUGCGCGCCCCUGGCCCCCGCGCGGCCGGCUCAGCCCCUCCUGCGCAGAGCACAGGGCCUCCAGCACGCGGAAGGGUCUCCGUUCCAGGACGAGGCUCCUGGCAUCACGAUGACAGCGUGGUUUUCCCAGCUGGGAGACCCUCUGUUCUAAACGCUCUAGAAGGAAGCACGAGGGGAGGGCGGAGGCCCCGGCCUGCCUCUGGCUCAGCCCGGUCCUGCAUUUGCGCUGCUGGGCAGAGCUGCAGGGAGAGAAUAGGCCCCGUCUUUUCAAGAUUUUAAGUAUUCUCUAUACCCGUCGUGGAGGACUGGAACUCACAACCCCAAGGUCGAGAGCCAGCCAGGAGCCCCUUGGUAUUAAUUUUAACUAUUUCUCCCCAGUGUUACUGAGACACAAUUCAUUUUACGUGUAAGAUCUGAAUAAUGUUCCCUCCAUCUUGAUGUUGGCAAUUUGUACUUCCUCACUUUUCUCAUGCUUUAUAAGAGCCACUCUUGGCUUUUUGCUCUUCUCCAUCAUGUAUUUGUUUACACA